AAGUCGUAACAAGGUUUCCGUAGGUGAACCUGCGGAAGGAUCAUUAAUGGGAUUGGUCUCUAAGACCUAACCUUCGACCCUUUGUCUUAACAACCCUUGUUUCUUUGGCGGGCUCGCCCGUCAGAAGAAUUCUUAAACUCAUUUAAACCAUGUCUUCUGAAAUACAAAACAAAAUAAAAUUAAAACUUUCAACAACGGAUCUCUUGGUUCUGGCAUCGAUGAAGAACGCAGCGAAAUGCGAUAAGUAAUGUGAAUUGCAGAAUUCAGUGAAUCAUCGAAUCUUUGAACGCAUAUUGCGCCCUUUGGUAUUCCGAAGGGCGUGCCUGUUCGAGCGUCAUUACACCCCUCAAAUAUCACUAUUUGAUGUUGGGUACUGCCGGAAGGCAUACCUAAAAAUUAGCGACGGUUACAAUCAACCUCAGGCGUACAAACAUCGCUAUGGUGGAAGGUUGGGGCCUGUCUUUAACUAAAAAAUUAUCUAAAUGUUGACCUCGGAUCAGGUAGGAAUACCCGCUGAACUUAA
RNAcentral lists this ribosomal RNA (523 nucleotides) under uncultured Ascomycota. Its description in RNAcentral is "eukaryotic LSU rRNA". The stretch from base 184 to 337 matches the Rfam family "5.8S ribosomal RNA". Lineage: Eukaryota; Fungi; Ascomycota. The record is from RNAcentral.